RNAcentral lists this transfer RNA (75 nucleotides) under Eubacterium sp. Its description in RNAcentral is "tRNA-Pro". It matches the Rfam family "tRNA". From Rfam's summary of the family: Transfer RNA (tRNA) molecules are approximately 80 nucleotides in length. Their secondary structure includes four short double-helical elements and three loops (D, anti-codon, and T loops). Lineage: Bacteria; Bacillati; Bacillota; Clostridia; Eubacteriales; Eubacteriaceae. RNAcentral also lists the same sequence under 2 other names. The record is from RNAcentral.
CGGGGUGUGGCUCAGUUUGGCUAGAGCGCCUGGUUUGGGACCAGGAAGCCGCAGGUUCGAAUCCUGUCACCCCGA